UACGUAGGGUGCGAGCGUUGUCCGGAAUUACUGGGUUUAAAGGGUGCGUAGGCGGGCCCUUAAGUCAGUGGUGAAAGCUCCGAGCUUAACUCGGAAACCGCCAUUGAUACUAUAGGUCUUGAAUUCGGUCGAGGUUGGCGGAAUGUGUCGUGUAGCGGUGAAAUGCUUAGAUAUGACACAGAACACCGAUUGCGAAGGCAGCUAGCUAGACCGACAUUGACGCUGAGGCACGAAAGCGUGGGGAUCAAACAGG
RNAcentral lists this ribosomal RNA (253 nucleotides) under uncultured bacterium. Its description in RNAcentral is "partial 16S ribosomal RNA". It matches the Rfam family "Bacterial small subunit ribosomal RNA", at positions 524 to 776 of the family's 1533-position model. The record is from RNAcentral.